This is an RNA transcript of Vicugna pacos (alpaca), 1367 nucleotides long. It is a transcript of the gene named family with sequence similarity 237 member B, with no coding region annotated. Lineage: Eukaryota; Metazoa; Chordata; Mammalia; Artiodactyla; Camelidae. The record is from RefSeq and is a predicted model, not a curated record.
ACAGGUAUAAGAAUGGCAGUGGAGUAAUCAGGAGGGCCUUUGAUAAUGAUGCUUCCUGUUUGUCCAAAACAAGAGUACUCAUGCAGCAGGAAAGUUGAAAAGGCGCGGGAUGAGGGCUUCAGGGCUGACUGCCGAGCCCCCUCCAGUCGCGGCAGAGCUCACCGCAUCGCCUUCCGCGAACUGGAGCCUCCCGGCGCUCCCUCCCGGCCCAGAUAGAGGCACGACCCAGACGGUUCAGCAGGGCGAUCUCAGGGCGACAGGCAGAAGCCGCCCUUGUCCCUCCAGCGAGCGCAGCGCAGGCAGGACAUCCCGUCUGACCACGCGCCUCUGCAGAUGGCUAAGAAUAUGGAUUUUGUCACAAGAAGAUGGUUCUACCUACCACUGGGCUGCAUGAUGCUGAUCAGUGAGAUUAAUGCUGAUUUUGAAUUUCAAAAGGGGGUGCUUGCCAGCAACAGCCCAGGGAUCAUGGAAGACAUUGAUCUCCAGUGCUGGAACGCUUGCUCUUUGACAUUGAUAGAUCUCAAGGAACUCAAGAUAGACCACGAUGUGGAUGCUUUCUGGAAUUUCAUGUUGUUCCUGCAAAAAUCCCAGUGGCCGAGACAUUAUAAUGUCUUCUUAAGCAUAGCUCAGGAUUUCUGGGAUAUGUAUGUAGACUGCUUGCUUUCAAGAUCUCAUGGAAUGGGCAGAAGACAGGUGAUGCCUCCCAAGUAUAAUUUUCCACAGAAGAUUACAGGAGGACUGGAUUUUAACAAAACGUGAGUUUUACAUUUAAGAGAACAGAGAAAAUACCUCAAGCAAGAUGACACCAACCUGAAAAUUUAACUCUGGGUCCCAUGAGCCCCAGGUCAAGAAGCUCCAAUAUUAAAGGAUGAAUGGACUGCAUAGCUUUCAGAUGCUACUGUCCUCACAGUCGGGAUCAUGAAAAAUUCCUGGAGGAAUGUGAGUCGGGAGAGGAGGAGUCAGGGAAGGAGGGAGGAGAGAGCAGGAGAGGGUGGGGUGAUGGAGCCUUUGUUUAUCUGAUAAUAAAGGUGGAUUCUAUGCAUGUCUUCCCAACUCUGCACUUAGUAGCACCAUGUUGCUAGCUUGAAAUUAGUCAUAGUGGGAGUAUUUAUACCAUGCAAAUUGCCAAGCAUUACAAAUGAGGGCUUUUUUCCCUUGAAGAGCUGGUGGUUAUACAUUUAGCACCAGUAUACUGCACCCGAUAGGCCUAGAGUCUAGACUCAAAUUCCAUUGUAUUUUCCUGUCUGAGAAAACAGGUUCUUGUCUCUCCCGGCCUUGGACAUGAACUCAACUUUACAGCUUCCUGGGUGGAUAAGGGGGUGGAUGGGCAUAGAGACAGGCUGUGGAAGCCUCAUAGCAGCACACAG